UGCGCCCUCGCCUCCUCGAACCGCCCCUGGCGCCCCAACACCUCCCCCACCAGCAUAAGCGCCUCAGCGGGAGCCCGGUGCUCCAGUCCGAAACCCUGAGACAGACAGACAGACAGACAGUACAACAACAAUGGCAGCAUCAACAGCAAAUGAAAGAGGAAGGGGAAGCGUGGUCCUGAAUGUAUGUAUGUCGGUAUGUAUGUAUCUUUGUAUGUCAAAAAGUAAAAACGAUGAUGGAAAUGUUAACAAAUGUAGUAUGUACGUACGUACAUACAUUCGUACAAUAUCAACGGAGGCGGCACGGCCCAUCCCUCAACACCCCCCCCCACACACACCCUGUACCCUCAGCACCUCAAAACACACAAACAUACACACAUACACACACACGCGCACCUUGGCAGUCUGGUGCGCUGCGUGUUUGGCGAUCAGCUCCGCCUGCGGGAGCCGCCCCAUCAGAAGUAACACGCGAGCCACUCGCACCAGACAGUGCGCAGCCUGGGGGGAGUCCGAGCCCAGAGCUUCGGCCUGGGGAAAACCCGGGGGAAUGUCAGGGUUUUAGGGUUUUAAGGUCCGUGGGGGUCAGGAGGAAGGGGGAGGGGGAUACAUGAGAAGGGAAAACCCACAGCGGUGGGGUGAGUAAAAAUCUAAAACCCUAAACUGAUCCGGGAGAAACGAAACACCCGUGUACAUACAAACAUACAAACGUACAUACGGGGAUAAUUAUCCACGUCACUUAAAGAGGUGGUGGCAUCAUUUGACGGGUUCCCAGCCACCUCCACAACUCUUUUCCCCCCACCCUACCCACCCCCCCACCCUCUGAAACCCCCUCCCCAUUUUUCCCCUCCCCCCUCACCACCACACACACACACACACCCCGUCACCCCGCCCGUACUCCAUUGACCGCCCUCUGACCGUUAGCGAGUGAGCUUGGAGGCAAAGACUCAGCGCUUCACGCUGCUUGCCCGCCUCUGCAGCAGCAGCAGCCACCCCCUCGAGAUCACUCGCCACCUCCAUCGCCUGCUCUGGGCUAAGCCCGGUACUCACG
This 1045-nucleotide long non-coding RNA is filed under the name Volvox carteri. Its description in RNAcentral is "long non-coding RNA (VCAR_LNC001924)". The record is from RNAcentral. Lineage: Eukaryota; Viridiplantae; Chlorophyta; Chlorophyceae; Chlamydomonadales; Volvocaceae.